Molecule: ribosomal RNA, 443 nt
Filed under: uncultured bacterium
Lineage: Bacteria
Description: partial 16S ribosomal RNA
Rfam family: Bacterial small subunit ribosomal RNA
Source: RNAcentral
CCUACAGGUGGCAGCAGUGGGGAAUAUUGGACAAUGGGGGGAACCCUGAUCCAGCGACGCCGCGUGAGUGAAGAAGUCUUUCGGUAUGUAAAGCUCUAUCAGCAGGGAAGAAAGACAUGACGGUCCCUGACUCAGAAGCCCCGGCUAAAUACGUGCCAGCAGCCGCGGGAAUACGUAGGGGGCAAGCGUUAUCCGGAUUUACGGGGUGUAAAGGGAGCGUAGACGGGGAUGCAAGUCUGAAGUGAAAGGCGGGGGCCCAACCUCCGGACUGCUUUGGAAACUGUAUGGCUGGAGUGCAGGAGAGGUAAGUGGAAUUCCGAGUGUAGCGGUGAAAUGCGUAGAUAUUAGGAGGAACACCAAUAGCGUAGGCAGGUUACUGGGACGGGUCUGACACUAAGGCACGAAAGCGUAGGGAGCAAACGGGAUUAGAUACCCUUGUAGUC